This 373-nucleotide RNase P RNA is filed under the name Candidatus Rokuibacteriota bacterium. RNAcentral describes it as "Candidatus Rokubacteria bacterium RNase P RNA component class A". It matches the Rfam family "Bacterial RNase P class A". From Rfam's summary of the family: Ribonuclease P (RNase P) is a ubiquitous endoribonuclease, found in archaea, bacteria and eukarya as well as chloroplasts and mitochondria. Its best characterised activity is the generation of mature 5'-ends of tRNAs by cleaving the 5'-leader elements of precursor-tRNAs. The record is from RNAcentral. Lineage: Bacteria; Candidatus Rokuibacteriota.
AGAGAAGGCUGGACGGUCGCCGGUCGCGGCAACGCGGCGGGAGGAAAGUCCGGGCUCCGCAGGGCAGGGUGCUGGAUAACGCCCAGGGGGGGCAACCCCACGGACCAGUGCCACAGAAAGCAGACCGCCGUUCUCUGAACGGUAAGGGUGAAACGGUGAGGUAAGAGCUCACCAGCGGCGCGGGUGACCGCGCCGGCUAGGUAAACCCCACCCGGAGCAAGGCCAAAUAGGGGAGCAAUGGCGUGGCCCGCGCCGCUCCCGGGUUCGGCCGCUGGAGACGCCGGGUAACCGGCGCCCUAGAGAAAUGAUCGUCGCCCCGGCGGAGGAAACCCGCUCGGGGUCACAGAACCCGGCUUACAGGCCUUCUCUGGCG